GAUGAACGCUGGCGGCGUGCCUAAUACAUGCAAGUCGAGCGAACAGACGAGGAGCUUGCUCCUCUGAUGUUAGCGGCGGACGGGUGAGUAACACGUGGAUAACCUACCUAUAAGACUGGGAUAACUUCGGGAAACCGGAGCUAAUACCGGAUAAUAUAUUGAACCGCAUGGUUCAAUAGUGAAAGACGGUUUUGCUGUCACUUAUAGAUGGAUCCGCGCUGCGUUAGCUAGUUGGUAAGGUAACGGCUUACCAAGGCAACGAUGCAUAGCCGACCUGAGAGGGUGAUCGGCCACACUGGAACUGAGACACGGUCCAGACUCCUACGGGAGGCAGCAGUAGGGAAUCUUCCGCAAUGGGCGAAAGCCUGACGGAGCAACGCCGCGUGAGUGAUGAAGGUCUUCGGAUCGUAAAACUCUGUUAUUAGGGAAGAACAAAUGUGUAAGUAACUAUGCACGUCUUGACGGUACCUAAUCAGAAAGCCACGGCUAACUACGUG
This 497-nucleotide ribosomal RNA is filed under the name uncultured bacterium. Its description in RNAcentral is "partial 16S ribosomal RNA". It matches the Rfam family "Bacterial small subunit ribosomal RNA", at positions 28 to 507 of the family's 1533-position model. The record is from RNAcentral.